CCCACCACAAUAGACUGAAAUAUCUUAAAAACACAAGCCUAAGUAAACCUUUCUCCCCUUGUUUCUGCCAGGUCUUUUGGUCACAGCAAUAAAAAAGUAAGUAAUGGACACUCUGCAAACAAAUGUUUCUUCUGGCAAACUGAAUUUCCGUAUAUCCUUUUCCAUUUGAAGGAAGCAAAUGAACAACAUGGGGGGUAAUCUGGUGGUAUUUCAGUGAUGCCAGCUUCAUUCAACAGAGACAAAUAACAAUUUUGCUGUCAACUGAAGGUAAGACAUAUGGGAAUAGGACCCUGGAAAGCCAAAUUG
RNAcentral lists this long non-coding RNA (306 nucleotides) under Cricetulus griseus (Chinese hamster). RNAcentral describes it as "lncRNA (ENSCGRG00000025149.1)". Lineage: Eukaryota; Metazoa; Chordata; Mammalia; Rodentia; Cricetidae. The record is from RNAcentral.